UACGAAGGGGGCUAGCGUUGUUCGGAAUUACUGGGCGUAAAGCGCACGUAGGCGGGAUGUUAAGUCAGGGGUGAAAUCCCGGGGCUCAACCCCGGAACUGCCUUUGAUACUGGCAUUCUCGAGUCCGGAAGAGGUGAGUGGAAUUCCGAGUGUAGAGGUGAAAUUCGUAGAUAUUCGGAGGAACACCAGUGGCGAAGGCGGCUCACUGGUCCGGUACUGACGCUGAGGUGCGAAAGCGUGGGGAGCAAACAGG
RNAcentral lists this ribosomal RNA (253 nucleotides) under uncultured bacterium. Its description in RNAcentral is "partial 16S ribosomal RNA". It matches the Rfam family "Bacterial small subunit ribosomal RNA", at positions 524 to 776 of the family's 1533-position model. The record is from RNAcentral.